This 508-nucleotide ribosomal RNA is filed under the name uncultured bacterium. RNAcentral's name for it is "partial 16S ribosomal RNA". It matches the Rfam family "Bacterial small subunit ribosomal RNA", at positions 28 to 507 of the family's 1533-position model. The record is from RNAcentral.
GACGAACGCUGGCGGCGUGCCUAAUACAUGCAAGUCGAACGCUUCUUUCCUCCCGAGUGCUUGCACUCAAUUGGAAAGAGGAGUGGCGGACGGGUGAGUAACACGUGGGUAACCUACCCAUCAGAGGGGGAUGACACUUGGAAACAGGUGCUAAUACCGCAUAACAGUUUAUGCCGCAUGGCAUAAGAGUGAAAGGCGCUUUCGGGUGUCGCUGAUGGAUGGACCCGCGGUGCAUUAGCUGGUUGGUGAGGUAACGGCUCACCAAGGCCACGAUGCAUAGCCGACCUGGGAGGGUGAUCGGCCACACUGGGACUGAGACACGGCCCAGACUCCUACGGGAGGCAGCAGUAGGGAAUCUUCGGCAAUGGACGAAAGUCUGACCGAGCAACGCCGCGUGAGUGAAGAAGGUUUUCGGAUCGUAAAACUCUGUUGUUAGAGAAGAACAAGGACGUUAGUAACUGAACGUCCCCUGACGGUAUCUAACCAGAAAGCCACGGCUAACUACGUG